Long non-coding RNA from Lotus japonicus, 1003 nucleotides. RefSeq lists it as uncharacterized. Lineage: Eukaryota; Viridiplantae; Streptophyta; Magnoliopsida; Fabales; Fabaceae. The transcript is spliced from 3 exons. The record is from RefSeq and is a predicted model, not a curated record.
AACCCCAAAACUUGGCACCCCCCCCACUCUUCCACUAUUCAUUUUCCACUUUAGAAACUCUGGAACUGCCACCGCCUCGCCCUCCUCCUUCACUUCCCCGACUGCACCUUCAAUAUCUCCAUCGAUGCCUGGGUCCCCUAUGUUUCCCCUCUGUCAUCCAAAAUUCGUGAACCUACAAUGGCAGUGACGCAACCCCUAUUUCCUUCGCCGGCAACGACGACAGCUGUCACCAGUCCCCAACCGUCUCUUCCUCCGCCCAUUGCUUCGCUAAGUGAAAUCCUCCUUCGCACAAUCGGCAAACCCAAUCGUGAAGCACCGCCGCUUCUCCCUGCAACCCCAAUCCAUGGAUCAUUACAAUGGAGGUAUAGCACUUUGUGUGUAAAGGGACCAUGGACAAAAGAGAUUUGUUCCCUCAGAUUCAUAAUUUCUCUCUCGCCGGAAGCUCCUCACUGAAGCCACGAUGUCUACUGCCUCACGCAGGCUUCUCGCAAACGCGAACCUGAGAAUAGCCAAGCUUGUUCUGAUGCAAUAUUUUCUUUGAAUUCCUAAAUCUCAAUCCAAUUCUAUUACCUAUUUAUCCCAUGAUCAGAAGUCUAUUGCGGAUGCCCUUUCGAAGCUAGUUAACAACAAGAAACUUUGGGCGAAAUGCAAUCAGAAUGAAGUAUAAUGAUAUAGAAGGUUCCUUUUCUUCCUCAGCACUUCAUGCUUCAGAGUCAGAAAUUCUGGCUUGAAAUUUUAGUUGCAUAAAGGUUAGAAAAAAUUGUAAAGCCCUUUUUUCUCUUUCUUUUUUUCAAUGCUUAAUGUUAGCUUGAAUUCCAUCUUGCAAUUACUGUAUUUUAUUUUAGACUUUAUCCAGAGGCUAAGGCAACAAUUCAGGAGUUGGUAUUUUUGAGAAAUGAAAAUUUCAUAGUAUAUAUUGUACAGGUUUUAGCAAGCACUUAAAAUCUAUGACUAUAUCAAUUUUUGAGGAAUGGAUAACUUUGCUGGGGUUGCUUAUUGUUUU